Molecule: ribosomal RNA, 376 nt
Filed under: uncultured bacterium
Lineage: Bacteria
Description: bacterial SSU rRNA
Rfam family: Bacterial small subunit ribosomal RNA
Source: RNAcentral
UACGGAGGGGGCAAGCGUUAUUCGGAAUUACUGGGCGUAAAGGGCGUGUAGGCGGUCUAACAGGUCAGAUGUGAAAUCCCCGAGCUUAACUCGGGAACUGCGUUUGAAACCGUUAGACUUGAGGCUGGGAGAGGAAAGCGGAAUUCCUGGUGUAGCGGUGAAAUGCGUAGAUAUCAGGAGGAACACCGGUGGCGAAAGCGGCUUUCUGGACCAGUACUGACGCUGAUGCGCGAAAGCGUGGGUAGCAAACGGGAUUAGAUACCCCGGUAGUCCACGCUGUAAACGAUGAGCACUAGGUGUAGCGGGUAUUGACCCCUGCUGUGCCGCAGCUAACGCAAUAAGUGCUCCGCCUGGGGACUACGCACGCAAGUGUAAA